This 691-nucleotide ribosomal RNA is filed under the name uncultured bacterium. RNAcentral describes it as "bacterial SSU rRNA". It matches the Rfam family "Bacterial small subunit ribosomal RNA", at positions 30 to 761 of the family's 1533-position model. The record is from RNAcentral.
GAGAAGCUGGCGGCAUGCCUAACACAUGCAAGUCGAACGAGACCUUCGGGUCUAGUGGCGCACGGGUGCGUAACGCGUGGGAAUCUGCCCUUGGGUUCGGAAUAACAGCCAGAAAUGGCUGCUAAUACCGGAUGAUGUCUUCGGACCAAAGAUUUAUCGCCCAGGGAUGAGCCCGCGUAGGAUUAGCUUGUUGGUGAGGUAAAAGCUCACCAAGGCGAUGAUCCUUAGCUGGUCUGAGAGGAUGAUCAGCCACACUGGGACUGAGACACGGCCCAGACUCCUACGGGAGGCAGCAGUGGGGAAUAUUGGACAAUGGGCGAAAGCCUGAUCCAGCAAUGCCGCGUGAGUGAUGAAGGCCUUAGGGUUGUAAAGCUCUUUUGCCAGGGAUGAUAAUGACAGUACCUGGAGAAUAAGCUCCGGCUAACUCCGUGCCAGCAGCCGCGGUAAUACGGAGGGAGCUAGCGUUGUUCGGAAUUACUGGGCGUAAAGCGCGCGUAGGCGGCUUUGUAAGUUAGAGGUGAAAGCCCGGGGCUCAACCCCGGAACUGCCUUUAAGACUGCAUCCGCUUGAAUCCGGGAGAGGUGAGUGGAAUUCCCAGUGUAGAGGUGAAAUUCGUAGAUAUUCGGAAGAACACCANUGGCCGAAGGGCGGCUCACUGGACCCGGUAUUGACCGCUUGAUGUGCCAAAGCC